RNAcentral lists this small nuclear RNA (97 nucleotides) under Echinops telfairi (small Madagascar hedgehog). Lineage: Eukaryota; Metazoa; Chordata; Mammalia; Afrosoricida; Tenrecidae. The record is from RNAcentral.
CUGCUCACUUCAGCAGCACGUGUACUAAAAUUGGAACGAUACAGAGAAGAUUAGCAUGGUUGUACAUACUUUCUAUUUUGCAAAUUUCCUAAUAUCU